Molecule: long non-coding RNA, 309 nt
Filed under: Carica papaya (papaya)
Lineage: Eukaryota; Viridiplantae; Streptophyta; Magnoliopsida; Brassicales; Caricaceae
Description: long non-coding RNA (CPAP_LNC010206)
Source: RNAcentral
UUCUUUCUCUGAUCAUCCUCCUUUUUUAUUUGGAUGUUGAGGGCUCUCCUUAUAACUAGGGACUCUCCUUGAGCCGCAUACUCAUUCUCGUCAUCCUCAUCCUCUAGUGAUGACAUGUUAUUAAUUUUAGAGUCACUACUGAUCUCGCCAUUUUCCCUUAACAGCAUCACCCUCUGAUUCAGGCAUUAGGAAGCAAUGUGCCUGAAUCCUAAACACUUAAAACAUUUAAUAGUACUAUGUUUCUAAGAUGAGAUAGGUGUUUUACCUUUAUAGUCGGGUGUGGCUGCCUUCUCCUUCUUUGCCUGAACU